GACGAACGCUGGCGGCGUGCUUAACACAUGCAAGUCGAGCGAUGAAGCACCUUCGGGUGUGAAUUAGCGGCGAACGGGUGAGGAACACGUGAAGAAUCUGCCUUCAACUCUGGGAUAACUCCGGGAAACCGGGGCUAAUACCGGAUAUGAGCCUUGAUCGCAUGAUCGGGGCUGGAAAGUUUUUAGGUUGAAGAUGACUUCGCGGCCUAUCAGCUUGUUGGUGAGGUAAUGGCUCAACAAGGCGACGACGGGUAGCCGGCCGGAGAGGGCGACCGGCCACACUGGGACUGGCACACGGCCCAGACUCCUACGGGAGGCAGCAGUGGGGAAUCUUGGGCAAUGGAGGAAACUCUGACCCAGCGACGCCGCGUGAGGGAUGAAGGCCUUCGGGUUGUAAACCUCUUUCAGUAGGGAAGAAGCGAAAGUGACGGUACCUACAGAAGAAGCACCGGCUAACUCCGUGCCAGCAGCCGCCGUAA
RNAcentral lists this ribosomal RNA (479 nucleotides) under uncultured bacterium. Its description in RNAcentral is "partial 16S ribosomal RNA". It matches the Rfam family "Bacterial small subunit ribosomal RNA", at positions 28 to 523 of the family's 1533-position model. The record is from RNAcentral.